Molecule: RNA transcript, 1332 nt
Organism: Diospyros lotus (date-plum)
Lineage: Eukaryota; Viridiplantae; Streptophyta; Magnoliopsida; Ericales; Ebenaceae
Exons: 7
Source: RefSeq, a predicted model, not a curated record
AGUCGUCCCGUACACUCGACCCACUUCCACUGUGAUCGCACGUGGGUGGCACGCUACGUGCGAGUAUUUAUUGGAGGCGUGAUUGGAAUACGGAUGGGGCCUGGUCCGUGCUCUUCACUUGCUAUUCUUCCUCCUCCUGCAAUUCUUAUCACUCCCUCAUCUCUUUUCAGCUGUCGAUAUUUUGAUCAUUGGUUGGACUCAGAGGAAGGGGAAGACCGAAGCCGAAGCCCAUGGAAACUCGCAAGCAAUUGAGCUCUCCUUCGUCGUUCGCUGCGGAUCUCUUUGGUUCAAACCAGUCGCAGUCGCCGUCAGCUAAAACGGGAAUUUUCGCGUCAAUUUUCCCUCCACCGUCGACGGUCAGAGAUCAUGAUUCCUUGUGCUUGGAUCUCAAGGAAUACACUCAAUCCCAUGAUUCCUCGGGGAUCGUGCGAGAAACUGCAGAGAUUACAGCUAAGAAAAGGGAAGGUGCCACAGUCAACAGCAUAGCAAACAAGGAAAGGAAUUCAGUUUUCCAGCAAAAUGUAGAACCGUGUCCUCUAAGUUCAUCUCUUUAUUAUGGUAGCCAAGAAGACAUGUAUAUCCAUUCUUCAAGUACGAAUAACUCUGGCUCCAACCCCAUUUUCACGAAAGAUCCAGUGGAAGAUGAUCCUAAUGGAAACAACUCGCAGAGUGCUUCUAGGGGAAAUUGGUGGCAAGGGUCACUUUAUUAUUAAGACUUUCCCCAGUAUGGAUGUGAAUUCUUCUAUUUGCCAAGGCAUUCUCAAAACCACUGCAGGAGUUUUGAUUUGGUCUGUAUUGUGUGGAAGGCAUGCAGUAUUUUCAUAUUCUCAUAUGGUCUGUUGGACACAAGUUUUAAGGAGACUGUAUUAACUUGCCAGAAGAAUGUAACUCUUCAACACACGUACGCUACGUCACGCAUGCAAUCCAUUUGUCAGCAGAAGGAGAUCCACCGACAUUGAACGCCGCCGCCGCCGCAAUCGUUUAAUUCUCCGGGCAUUGUUCUACUUCUCCUUUUCCUCCGUUACUAAAAGCAGGGAAAACGAGCUAGACCGACGACUUCAAUGUUAAACUGGGGCCGUAAUAUGGUUGAAAGAAAUUUAUUUAUAAUAUUAUACAACUGUAAGUGUAUUAUCUUAUAUUAUAUUAUUAUAUUGUCCGUAUUUUUAAUUUAAUUUUAAAAUCACUUUUUCUUUUCUUUUUUUUAAUCUUUUCAAUACUCACCGUCAUCUUUGUUACUCGUUUCAAUAUUAGAAAACUAUAUAUUUUAGGUUUGACUAUAUCAAAAUGCUGCCUUGACUGUUGAAUAGUUGAUUUGCCUAUCUUACAUUUCAA